CCGUGCCGUGUACAGUCAGAGGGAAAGGGUGCUGCUGCGGCUAACCAACCCAGGCGAAGCACGCAGCCAGCACCUCGCUGAGUGCUCUCAGCGGGAUCUGGUAGGAGCACCACUGAGCCACCUGGAGCAGUCCGUGGCGACAGGAAGAGCUUUGGCAUCGGGUCUGAGCACACUUAGACACUUAAGGAGAGAAAAAUGAAGAAAGGGAGGUAGUGAAGACCCACAGAGGAGACUGUUGCACAUUAGCAGCUACUAGCACAAGAAGCAGAGCCAGGACGGGUGCAGCGGCAGAGUCCCCAGGCAUGGUCUCUACAGGAACAAGUCCUCACGUCCAUUAAACCUCCUAUGAAAAAAGCCUGAGCCAGCAACCCAUGCCCAGCUGUGACCCACCCAUGCCAAGGGAAAUAGGCAAUGGUAUAGGAAGCACAUCUUAGAAUGCCAUGCCUGGUCCAGAGAGCUGCAGAAUUUGCAUUUUUCCCUCUUCCACACAUACCUCAAGUUCUGUCCUAGCCUGCAAGAGCCCGGCAAGACAAACAAGCUCACUGACACCUGCGGUGCUGCAGGCCUCUCCUCAGAAGAAAACUUGGAAUGCUCAGGAAAAAGCUUUCAGCUCUGUGAGCUCUCGACGACAGGAGAAGUCACAGAGCUUGGUAAUGCUUGGAAAAGCAAAAUGGAUUUGGAGGAUUUGGAGAGAAUCAUACCAUUAAGCAACUCUUUGAUUUUUUUUUUUCCUCUACCUUGUUCUUUCACUGGUCUCAAAGAAAAAUGAAAGUCACUGGAAGAUACAAUCUGUACCUGAUGAAGUCGAGAUGUGGCCCCGGCCAGCGCGCGCGCACACAUACACACACACACACACACACACAUACACACAA
This is a long non-coding RNA of Mastomys coucha (southern multimammate mouse), 872 nucleotides long. RefSeq lists it as uncharacterized. The transcript is spliced from 4 exons. Lineage: Eukaryota; Metazoa; Chordata; Mammalia; Rodentia; Muridae. The record is from RefSeq and is a predicted model, not a curated record.